RNAcentral lists this unclassified non-coding RNA (285 nucleotides) under Leishmania donovani. RNAcentral's name for it is "gene:unknown". The record is from RNAcentral. Lineage: Eukaryota; Euglenozoa; Kinetoplastea; Trypanosomatida; Trypanosomatidae.
CACCGCGUACGAUAAUGUAUAGUUGCUGGAAGUGCUGCGGCUGCAUACCAGCACGGCAUGUGUGUGCGUGUGCGUGUUCCACCUUGUGCCGAUGAUCGCAUCGGUUGGUGCGCCGCUUGGUGAUGUACUUCGAUCCCCUCCCCCCUCCACACACACGCACACCAAGGGUCGUCAAUGACGCCGGCAUGACCGCUAUCAGCGUUCCUCUCUCUCACGCCCACCAUCCGCGUCACCGGUAUCGAAGCGCAUACACACAUGUACAUGUAGACAUACGUCACAGCCAGG